This 449-nucleotide ribosomal RNA is filed under the name Hyperia galba. Its description in RNAcentral is "SSU rRNA". It matches the Rfam family "Eukaryotic small subunit ribosomal RNA", at positions 567 to 1008 of the family's 1831-position model. The record is from RNAcentral. Lineage: Eukaryota; Metazoa; Arthropoda; Malacostraca; Amphipoda; Hyperiidae.
CCAGCAGCCGCGGUAAUUCCAGCUCCAAUAGCGUAUACUAAAGUUGUUGCGAUUAAAAAGCUCGUAGUUGGAUCUCAGGCAUGGGCGCGCGGUCCGCCUCGCGGCGGUCACUGCGUGUUUUUUUCCCAUCCUACGCUUCCCGGUUGUUCAGCCCAUGGUGCUCUUCACUGAGCGUUUUGGGUGGCCGGAACGUUUACUUUGAAGAAAUUAGAGUGUUCAAAGCAGGCACGUUGCCUGAAUAAUGGUGCAUGGAAUAAUGGAAUAGGACCUCGGUUCUAUUUUGCUGGUUUUCGGAACACGAGGUAAUGAUUAAGAGGGACAGACGGGGGCAUCCGUAUUGCGGUGUUAGAGGUGAAAUUCUUGGAUCAUCGCAAGACGAACAACUGCGAAAGCAUUUGCCAAGCAUGUUUUCAUUAGUCAAGAACGAAAGUCAGAGGUUCGAAGACAAU